RNAcentral lists this ribosomal RNA (275 nucleotides) under uncultured Propionivibrio sp. Its description in RNAcentral is "partial 16S ribosomal RNA". It matches the Rfam family "Bacterial small subunit ribosomal RNA", at positions 8 to 281 of the family's 1533-position model. The record is from RNAcentral. Lineage: Bacteria; Pseudomonadati; Pseudomonadota; Betaproteobacteria; Rhodocyclales; Rhodocyclaceae.
AGAGUUUGAUCAUGGCUCAGAUUGAACGCUGGCGGCAUGCCUUACACAUGCAAGUCGAACGGCAGCAUAGAGAGCUUGCUCUCUGAUGGCGAGUGGCGAACGGGUGAGUAAAGCAUCGGAACGUACCGUGUAGUGGGGGAUAACGUAGCGAAAGUUACGCUAAUACCGCAUACGCACUGAGGUGGAAAGCAGGGGAUCGCAAGACCUUGCGCUAUACGAGCGGCCGAUGUCAGAUUAGCUAGUUGGUAGGGUAAAGGCCUACCAAGGCGACGAUC